Homo sapiens (human) is the source of this 2284-nucleotide long non-coding RNA. The record is from Ensembl. Lineage: Eukaryota; Metazoa; Chordata; Mammalia; Primates; Hominidae.
ACAGGAAUGGCCCCGGCACAGGAGCAGAGCAGCGACCCUGCAGGACAUGUUCAGGGCGCCCGGCCUCCCAUCUCCCUGCCUCGUGGGCCUGGAUGUGCAGGAAGGCUCGAACCCCCCCUGUCUGCAGCACCCAGUCCGAUUGUUCCGUUGGGGAGUUUCAGGUGGAUCACGCCUUCCUCAAGACCCUCCCAAUCCUGCCUGCCCCACCCUGCACCAGCCGAGGACCCAGACUCUCCCCUGGCCCAGCAGUGACAAGUGCCUUGCCCGGCGCCAACAGUGUGUGUGCUCGCGAAGCCGGUGUGGUUCCCUGGACAUCAGUGAGGGCCCCACAUCACCCGGCGCGGGGCUGGGUGCUGAGGAGCUGCCUCCCGAGGACUGGGUGCUGCCGCUGCGGAGCCCAGGUCCAGGUUCCUUCCCCCACCCUGCUGCCCCAGCUCAUGUGGCCUGCUGGGCUUGUUUAUGUUGCUAUUGUUUUUGUUGCUGUUUUGGGGGGUUUUUUUGAGACAGGGCCUCGCUCAGUCACCCAGGCUGAAAUGCAGUGGCAAGAUCAUGGCUCACUGCAGCCUCGACCUCCUGGGCCCCAGGGAUCCUCCCACCUCAGCCUCCCGAGUAGCUAAGAUGACAGGUGCACGUCACCACACCCAGCUGAUUUUUUAAUUUAUUUUUAUUUUUUGUAGAGAUGGAGUCUUGCUAUAUUGGUGGUCUCAAACUCCUGGCCCUAAGCGAUCCUCUUGCCUCAACCUCCCAAAGCGCCGGGAUGACAGGCGUGAGCCAGUGCACCUGGCCUGACCUUGAUUUCAGUGGUGGUUUCACAACAUCCACUUACGUCAAAACAUAUUGGAUUAUAUUCUUUAAGUAUGGGCAGCUUGUUGUUGACAAUUUCAACUCAAUAAAGCUGUUUUACAAAAAUAUAUAUAUAUAUAUUAAAAAGACAGAAAUGUGAUAUUGAAAUGAGACGGUAGUCAUAGGAAAAAAGGUUAAUGUGGAUUACUUUCUUACACUUUACACCAGAAAUAUAUGUGAAUUAUCAGAGAUCUAAUGUGAAUGGAUCAGAGAUAGAAUCAUAAAAUGACAUAAAACCACAACGAGGGGUCGUCUGUGCUGGAGGACAGCUCCGUGUCUGGAUUCCGUGGUGAAAAAGGGCGCAGAACUGCGCAGUCAUCCCCGUGACAAUUUCCCGGCUGUGACUCAGCUUCUAGUUCCCAAGAUGCCACCAUUGGGGGAGGAGGGACCUCCUGUGCCAUUUUCACAACUUCCUGGGGAUCUCUAACCAUUUCCAAAUAAAAAGCAUUUGAAAUUGAUGAGCAAAGCCUGAAGGCCUGGAAGGAAACACGAAUGGGCUUUGCUAUAUUCUCUAUAUUUAAAAAACAACUUUUGCUGGGCGCAGAGGCUCACACUGGUAAUCCCAGCACUUUGGGAGGCGGAGGCGGGUGGAUCACUUGAGGUCAGGAGUUUGAGGCCAGCCUGGCCAGCAUGGAGAAACCCCGUCUCUACUAAAAAUACAAAAAUUAGCUGGGCAUGGUGGCUCACGCCUGUAAUCCCAGCUACUCAGGAAGCUGAGGCAUAAGAAUCGCUUGUACCCGGGAGGCGGAGAUUGCGGUGAGCCGAGAUGGCGCCACUGCACUCCGGCCUGGGCGAAAGAGCGAGACCCAUCUCAAAAUUAAUUAAUUAAUUAAAUAAAAUUAAAAACAACUUUUGCUUUUACAAAAAAGAUAAGAAAUUAAACAGAUGAAUGACAAAAUGGGAAAACAUUUUCAAGUCGUAUCAUGGGCAAACUUGGGUUUGGGUUAAUAGCUCUGACGUAUUAAUAGCUUCUACAAAUAAAGAAAAAGGCAAACAUUAUUUUUUAAAAUGGCCCAAAGAAAUGAAUAAAUAACAGAAAAGGAAAAUUCCAGUGUCCUUUAAUUAUAUGAAAACAUUCUAACACAAAAAAAUAGCAAGUAGAAAAAUUUUAAACUGAAGCAGUUUUACCAAUGGAAGUGUGAAUAUUAAUUUUUUUAUGUUGGUAUGCUAAUCAGUUAGUAAAUUUUUUAAGUAUAGUUCAGGCAACUCAGCUAAGUGAUCCACUUGUCAACUAUAAGUUUUAUGAAAUCUUAAUGUAGGCAGAGUAUUUCUGAUGAGAAUGUCGUGUGCAUAUUCAGAUGUUCUGUAAGUGUGAAAUACAAACAAAUUUUGAAAACUUUGUAUUAAAAAAGAAUGACAAUAUCUCAUUACUAGAUUUUUUAUUGAUUACAUGUUGAAAUGAUAACAUUCUGGCUAUAUUGGGUUUGAUAAAUAAAUACAU